Long non-coding RNA from Neopsephotus bourkii (Bourke's parrot), 1211 nucleotides. RefSeq lists it as uncharacterized. The record is from RefSeq and is a predicted model, not a curated record. The transcript is spliced from 2 exons. Lineage: Eukaryota; Metazoa; Chordata; Aves; Psittaciformes; Psittacidae.
AAAUAUAAAAAAGCAAUUGCUUAUCAAAACCAGGUUACUAUUCCUAUCAGGUAUGAUACUGACCAGAUUGUCAAGACUGCAACAGGAUUUGAACAAACUUCCAGACAUCAUUAAUAUGACAUUUUUAUGAGUUAUGCACCAUCUGCAAUUGUCAUAAUACAUCUUAUGUUGCAACUUACACUCAUUGUAUUUUUCUGUAUUUUAUUAAUUUUCUAUUAGUAUGUUUAUAUAUCCAGAUUUAUUGCUGAUAUUACCAUGCUGAAAGUAUGUUACCUAGGAACAAACCAUAAUGCUAGAUUUCCAUGAGAACGCUCAAAGCUUUCCCUUAUGCUCACCCUCAGUGAGGCAAGAAGACUAACAGUACCUUCUCUCACAGAGGUAUGGGAUUUACAUGUGUCAUCCAGAAUCUUCUACAUGACAUUGCUGGCACUCCAUUGACUGUUAUUUUGUUUAGUAAGGGGUAGGUUUUCAUUCAAUUGUUCCUGUCCUCUGAGUAUGACUUACCUAUAAUAGAACACAAGUAUUUAUAGGGAGCUGACACCUGUAACAGUUCUAUGAAAAUUGUCGUUGUAUGUUGACUAUAAAAGAGAAGUUCUGGUUUUGUCAAGCUUUGAUGACAAGCUAUGGCUUGCUUUCUGUUCUGUAAAAUCCCAUAACAUUAAACAUAAUAAUUUAUUAGUGCAAAGAGAAGAGAUUAGAGGAAUGGAAGAGCUUUACAUUUCUUAACUUCAUUUCCUAUUUUUGUACUGGGUGGCUUACUGAGAUAUCAGCUUUCACUGAACAAAAAAAUUUCUUUCCUUUGAGAGACUGGAGUCAUGUCAUCAUACUGUUUCUUGCUUGACAAGUGUAUAUUAACUUAAAUGGUUUGUUUCAUCUGCUCCUUCUGGUGCCUUUGUGUUAACACCAAGUGAUGAUUAAGAAAGGUCUCUUUUGUAUUUUCUUCCAGCUUUAGAAGUCACGAUCACAGACAUACUGUAUGGUAAUAAGCUGCUGCAGAUUUUGACUGGUGCAACAUGUAAUCAUCUUGAAGAGAUCUACUGUUCUUCUGGUUGAAUGAGAUUCAGGCAGAAAAGCUUCAGCAGUCAUAGCAAAAUGAUCAAGUGUAAAUAUGCUUAUUUUUGGUUUGCACAGGAGGAAGAACUCAACUUUCUGUUAAGCUUUAAAAUUUGUUCCUUCUGCUCCAUACACAAAUAAAAGUUUCUGGAUAUUAA